Molecule: ribosomal RNA, 468 nt
Filed under: uncultured Streptococcus sp.
Lineage: Bacteria; Bacillati; Bacillota; Bacilli; Lactobacillales; Streptococcaceae
Description: bacterial SSU rRNA
Rfam family: Bacterial small subunit ribosomal RNA
Source: RNAcentral
GACGGGGCCCGCACAAGCGGUGGAGCAUGUGGCUUAAUUCGAAGCAACGCGAAGAACCUUACCAGGUCUUGACAUCCCGAUGCUAUUUCUAGAGAUAGAAAGUUACUUCGGUACAUCGGUGACAGGUGGUGCAUGGUUGUCGUCAGCUCGUGUCGUGAGAUGUUGGGUUAAGUCCCGCAACGAGCGCAACCCCUAUUGUUAGUUGCCAUCAUUCAGUUGGGCACUCUAGCGAGACUGCCGGUAAUAAACCGGAGGAAGGUGGGGAUGACGUCAAAUCAUCAUGCCCCUUAUGACCUGGGCUACACACGUGCUACAAUGGUUGGUACAACGAGUUGCGAGUCGGUGACGGCGAGCUAAUCUCUUAAAGCCAAUCUCAGUUCGGAUUGUAGGCUGCAACUCGCCUACAUGAAGUCGGAAUCGCUAGUAAUCGCGGAUCAGCACGCCGCGGUGAAUACGUUCCCGGGCCUU